Molecule: non-coding RNA, 99 nt
Organism: Streptomyces aurantiacus JA 4570
Lineage: Bacteria; Bacillati; Actinomycetota; Actinomycetes; Kitasatosporales; Streptomycetaceae
Source: Rfam
GAGAGCCCGGUACGGUGAAAGUCGCACGCCGGGUUCGGCGGGCGGGUCCGGGAAACGGUCCUGGAGCGAUCCAGGAACCGCGCCCGGGCCCGACCCGAC